Molecule: long non-coding RNA, 2887 nt
Organism: Dreissena polymorpha
Lineage: Eukaryota; Metazoa; Mollusca; Bivalvia; Myida; Dreissenidae
Exons: 3
Source: RefSeq, a predicted model, not a curated record
CUAGCUAUUCGGAUGUUUAAACUUUGAAGGACUGAGUUUUAGUAGUGUCUAGCCUUUCUGUUAUCAAUAGUGGAAGUUACAGCUUAGACAAGUUAUUCCGCUUUCGAAUUUUUUAGUUGAAGCGAAAGGUGCCUAAGAUCUUACUGCAGCACGUUUAGAUGACUGAAUGUGACACCAGACACGAUGAAUCGGAAGGGUUCCAUAGACAGGGCAGUGUGUCCAGCCAACAAGACCUGGUUCAGUGGGAAAAUGCCUCCGUUGAAACAUGCACUGUAAUAAGCUUGCUCGACUAUGGUCUGGAGAUCAUACAGGUUCGGAGAGACGCAUACAGGGAGCACUGCAGGCUAAGGACUGCACGGACAAAUGGAACAAUAACGACUAUUAUUACGGGUAGCAAGGCUAAUGGGCUGAUCCGCUUCCUUGAAAGUGAUAUAGACAUCAUGUUUGUACGCAAUAAUUUCGUUUGUUUAGAAGAUUGUGUUAGUGCUGAUACAUUUCCUAGAGAGAUAACCGUGUUUAGAUCAUACAGUCGUACGAGUUACCCUGGGCACUGUUGACUGCUACUAGAAAGACGCGGUACAACGACUGACCGGAACGUAACCGAUGCGUUGUGUGAUGAUGGGCAUGGUCACGAACUCCGGAGCAGUGACUUAUUUGUACAUAACUGUAGGAAAUGUAAAUUCAUGAAAGGCAUAGUACAGCAUGAUCGCUCGGGGCCGUCAAUGCCUAAUGCAUUGUCCGGUAUAUUACACACAGACAUAGUAGAUGCAUUUCGUUAUCACUGCCCCAGCAUCCUGUCUAAAUGGGCCGCAAGACCUUGCCACUGGCCGCUACCGUAUGUCGUUCAGCAGGUCGUAUCACUUGGGGCAUUUCUUACGCCUGUUGGAUUUAAAGGUAGGGAAUAUCAACAUGUUGAAUGGAGAGUUUGUUUCAACGCCGGUGAGAUCAAACUAGUAUACAAUCUUAAUGAAACUCAAAUUAAAUUGUAUUUUCUAUUAAAAAUGGUCAAAAACGAUGUUUUAAAUCCACAUAAGAAAGAAGUUUCAUCUUACACGUUAAAAAACAUUGUUUUAUGGAUAGCGGAAAAUAAUCCUCAGUCUUUGUUUCAUGAAAGAAGAUUGUUGCACUGGUUGCAUGUAGCAUUGGGUGCGCUAAGAGUUGCGUUGAAUACCCGAGAGUUGCCGUACUACAUGAUUCCAGAUAGAAAUCUGAUGGCAGCGUCUGAACUGGAUGAGGAACAGCAAAGUUUAUGGAUAUCAACGAUUAAAGAAAUGAUUAAUGAAGGACCCAGGAUGAUACUAAGACUUCCGAAGAUACGACAAGCCCUUAUCGCUCAUCCUGAACCAUUUCGAUGAUACAUCAGAAGGAGAAUGGAGCUGGAAUUGCUGAUGCUCCUGAACAUUAACAGAAUGAUCCUCUGCGGGGAUGAGAGCGGGGAGGUUGACGAGACCGAUGCGAUUCUGCAGGCAUUAUUCACACGAAUGAACGAGGUUAUAAAACAGGUGUGCGUGAGGAUGAGAAUGGAAGGGAGUCGCGUUAUCAACGCGGAUGCCAUUUCUGAUAGAAUUAUGAUGUAAAACGUUAACGAAGACCAAUUGAUCAUUAACGAGGAACGGAAAACUUAUUCAUAAAUUUUGAGUACAUAUAAUCUUUGAAGUAUCGAUGAGUAUUGUUGAAAAUAACGUGAUAAUUCAACGACUUAUCGUAAUAGUGAUUUCUUCAGUAAUUGAUGUUUGACUUGCAGACGUGCGUUUCACAUUUUAAAAAUGUGAACAGUUUUACAGAUGCUUUGUCUACAGACGGCUGUAACCUUGACAAUAACAAUACUUUUGAUAUACUUUAUCAAAACAAUUUCAAUCUUCUAGCUAAUCAUAGUUUGUAAUAUAACGUUGUAUAAUAGCUACAUUUUAUAUGAUCGUACACUAAUAUGCAUGUAUCACCUUUGGAAACUAGUGGUUUCAUAUCAGCGUUUGCAAAUGAAUCUAUUUAAAACUUAUAUUAUUUACUAGCAUUUUGUCUAUUUAUGUAGUUAUGCGACUUGUGUUUAUUUGAGUAUGCGUGUUAGGAAAUAAAUUGUUUUUUUAUUAGUCGUAUUUCCGUCUUUCGAGCUUCAUUUGCACGUGUGUCUAGGUUGGUAUUGUUUACGCAUUUGUACUUAUUCAAUUUAUGUGUUGCUGGUAGUCCACUUUUAAUGUUCUAAUCGCAGUAAUCGCAGUACAUGUAAAGAUAGCAUUCUCGUUUUUCUCGUUGAUAAUAAACAGUAAUUGUGAUCGGCAAUAUUGUGGACAGCGUAUUGAUCACAUUAAUGAUGCAGUUAUCGUUAAAAAAUUUGAUAUCUGUGUUCAUUCCUACCUCUUCAAUGUCUUAAAAAGCGCAAUUGUUGCAUCCAUAUAUAAGAAACAUAGUGCCGUUGUUAUUUGCAAAUCGAGUAAAUUACUUCUCAUAUGAAUUUAUUAUUGCUCGCGGUUUUGGCAGAACAAGUUAACGUAAACUUUUAAUAAACACGGAUAAACUGAUCUCAUCAAAACCCAUAUAUUGUAUUUUACCUAAAGAUACGUAGAUAUAGAUAAUCUAGUAAUACCGUUAAACUCGUUUUUGCUCUAAGCGUAUGCAUGCUUGUGUCAAUUUUAUAGCGUGAUUACCGUAUUGCUUAAGUCAUGGGUGUUUUUUUGUGUUAUUUACCCCUUUAUUCUGUUGGCUUCCUAUUGCAUUUAUAUAAAAUGGCAAGUUUUAAGCAACGUUUUCCAUGAACUCGCAAUAGGUUUAAUGCUAAACAAAUUAUAUUUCAGAAGAUGAAUUUAUACGUUUUGUUUAAAUGUCGCUUUGAUAUAAAGGACGAAAAUUAAUCAUAUUUUAUUGUAUUUCCAAUACAAUAUGUGAUCUUAUU